Molecule: ribosomal RNA, 725 nt
Filed under: bacterium Ss66
Lineage: Bacteria
Description: bacterial SSU rRNA
Rfam family: Bacterial small subunit ribosomal RNA
Source: RNAcentral
CGAGCCGGAACCUUUGGNAGCUUGCUCCAUCGGUUUAGCGGCGGACGGGUGAGUAACACGUGGGCAACCUGCCCUGCAGAUCGGGAUAACUCCGGGAAACCGGUGCUAAUACCGAAUAGUUUGGGGCCUCUCCUGAGGCCCCACGGAAAGACGGUUUCGGCUGUCACUGCAGGAUGGGCCCGCGGCGCAUUAGCUAGUUGGUGGGGUAAUGGCCCACCAAGGCGACGAUGCGUAGCCGACCUGAGAGGGUGAUCGGCCACACUGGGACUGAGACACGGCCCAGACUCCUACGGGAGGCAGCAGUAGGGAAUCUUCCGCAAUGGACGCAAGUCUGACGGAGCAACGCCGCGUGAGUGACGAAGGUUUUCGGAUCGUAAAACUCUGUUGUGAGGGAAGAACAAGUACCAAGUAACUACUGGUACCUUGACGGUACCUCACCAGAAAGCCACGGCUAACUACGUGCCAGCAGCCGCGGUAAUACGUAGGUGGCAAGCGUUGUCCGGAAUUAUUGGGCGUAAAGCGCGCGCAGGCGGUCCCUUAAGUCUGAUGUGAAAGCCCACGGCUCAACCGUGGAGGGUCAUUGGAAACUGGGGGACUUGAGUGCAGAAGAGGAAAGUGGAAUUCCAUGUGUAGCGGUGAAAUGCGUAGAGAUGUGGAGGAACACCAGUGGCGAAGGCGACUUUCUGGUCUGUAACUGACGCUGAGGCGCGAAAGCGUGGGGAGCA